Molecule: long non-coding RNA, 373 nt
Filed under: Theobroma cacao (cacao)
Lineage: Eukaryota; Viridiplantae; Streptophyta; Magnoliopsida; Malvales; Malvaceae
Description: long non-coding RNA (TCAC_LNC000479)
Source: RNAcentral
UCAUCAUAAACAUCUAGAGUUGAGUACAUGGAGAUGAUAAAGUAAAUCAUCGUAAACUGGGUCACAGCAUUAAAACACAUUUCAUUCAAAAUACAUAACGAGGCUUAUGAAUCUCAUAAAAACUAGGCUUGUGCCAUAAAUCCAUCCUCGGGGACACCUUGGUCGAGGCAUCUUACCGAGACCGCCAAGGCUGUUAAAAAUUCACAUUUCGUAUAAAACAAAUUUUUUGUUGGACAUCACAGCCGUUCCUUGGCGUUGGCUGAGUUCACCAUCACGUGGUGGUUUGGCGUGAAGUGAACUCAAAUAUCACCUCAUGAGCUACCCUACGCGCCCCUACAACUGAGGUGAGCACAUAUAAACGGGGUUACCGUGC